Molecule: microRNA precursor, 114 nt
Filed under: Musa acuminata subsp. malaccensis (wild Malaysian banana)
Lineage: Eukaryota; Viridiplantae; Streptophyta; Magnoliopsida; Zingiberales; Musaceae
Description: mir-166 microRNA precursor family
Rfam family: mir-166 microRNA precursor family
About the family: This family represents the plant microRNA (miRNA) precursor mir-166. Animal miRNAs are transcribed as ~70nt precursors and subsequently processed by the Dicer enzyme to give a ~22nt product. In plants the precursor sequences may be longer, and the carpel factory (caf) enzyme appears to be involved in processing.
Source: Rfam by way of RNAcentral
GUUGAGGGGAGUGUCGUCUGGUUCGAAGCCAUCAAUGAACAGACAAAAGAGCACCCUCUCGAUCGUUCUCUCUCCCUCGAGGAUGGUUUCGGACCAGGCUUCAUUCCCCCCAAC